This 482-nucleotide ribosomal RNA is filed under the name uncultured bacterium. RNAcentral describes it as "partial 16S ribosomal RNA". It matches the Rfam family "Bacterial small subunit ribosomal RNA", at positions 28 to 507 of the family's 1533-position model. The record is from RNAcentral.
GAUGAACGCUAGCGGCAGGCCUAAUACAUGCAAGUCGGACGGGAUUCAGGAGCUUGCUUCUGAUGAGAGUGGCGCACGGGUGCGUAACACGUAUGUAACCUACCUUUAUCAGGGGGAUAGCCUCUCGAAAGAGAGAUUAAGCCCGCAUAAAAUCACAGCACAGCAUUGUGUAAUGAUCAAAUAUUUAUAGGAUAAAGAUGGGAAUGCGGAACAUUAGCUAGAUGGCGGGGUAACGGCCCACCAUGGCGACGAUGUUUAGGGGAUCUGAGAGGAUGGCCCCCCGGACUGGUACUAAGGCACAGACCAGACUCGUAGGGAGGAGAGGGGAAAGGAAGAUUAGGCGAGGGAGGGAGGCCUGACCCAGCCGUGCGGGGGACAAAAAGACGGGGCUAGGAGAUGUAAUCUGCUUUUAAACGGGAGUAGACCCAGAUACGUGUAUCUGGCUGACGGUACUGAAAGAAUAAGGAUCGGCUAACUUCGUG